GACGAACGCUGGCGGCGUGCUUAACACAUGCAAGUCGAACGGAAAGGCCUCUUUCGGGGGGUACUCGAGUGGCGAACGGGUGAGUAACACGUGAGUAACCUGCCCUUGACUUUGGGUUAAAUUCAGGCAACAGGGGCUAGUACCGGAUAGGAGCUCCUGCUGCCUGGAGGGGGCUGGAAAGUUUCGGCGGUUUGGUAUUGACUAGCGGCUUAUCAGCUUGUCGGUGGGGUAGUGGCUUACCAAGGCGUUGACGGGUAGCCGGCCAGAGAGGGUGAUCGGCCGCAUUGAGACUGAGGUGCGGCACAGGCUGCUACGGGAGGCAGCAGUGGGGAAGAUUGCACAAUGGGUGGAAGCCUGAUGCAGCAACGCCGCGUGCGGGAUGACGCUCUUCUGGUGGAAAACCGAUUGUGCACAUGACGAAGCUUUGUGUGACGGUAGUUGGUAAAGAAGCACCGGCUAACUACGUG
Molecule: ribosomal RNA, 467 nt
Filed under: uncultured bacterium
Lineage: Bacteria
Description: partial 16S ribosomal RNA
Rfam family: Bacterial small subunit ribosomal RNA
Source: RNAcentral